UCAUAUGGUGAUAAUGGUCCCGAU
Molecule: non-coding RNA, 24 nt
Filed under: Mus musculus (house mouse)
Lineage: Eukaryota; Metazoa; Chordata; Mammalia; Rodentia; Muridae
Also listed under: 1 other name
Source: RNAcentral